UUUAUUCUCUUUUCUUUUCCUCUUGGUAAUUGAAGUAUUUCUUUGAGAUGAAUACCUUCGGUUAAACAAAACCAGUAUUAUGUUGAAAUAUUAGUGAUCCGGCUCAAAACUUCUAUAUUUCUUUUCAAAUACUAUGAUGACUUUACUUAUCUCUGUGUACUACUAUUAUUAUAAUUUUGGCUAAAUAGUCACUUGAUUCUCACUCUGGGCUACUAUUAAAUACUAAACUUUUUCUGAGUGCAUGUCUCCUUCAUUGCCUCAUGGUAUUUCUUUUGCUAGAAUGGAAAUUCAUUGCUAGAACAGAACGUUUCUUAUCAAGGAUAUCUUUUCUGCUAGUGCCAUCUCCCACAAUUCUGGAUAUCUAGAAUCAUAGAUGAUUAGGGUUGGAAGAGACCUCAGGAGAUCAUCUAGUCCAACCCCCUGCUCAGCAGGACCAGCACCAACUAAAUCAUCCCAGCCAGGGCUUUGUUAAGCCGGACCUUAAAAACAUCUAAGGAUGGAGAUUCCACCACCUCACUAGAGCCAGUUAUCUCAUCAUAGAAGGCAAUCAAGUUGAUUAGGCAUGACUUGCUGUUGGUGAAUCCAUGUUGACUGUUCCUGAUCAUCUUCCUCUCCUCCAAGUGCUUCACAAUGGUUUCCUUGAGGACCUGCUCCAUGAUUUUUCCAGGGACUGAGCUCUCAGACGCAGAUCUGUGUUUUAGUGUUGCAGUCUGGCCACAGCCCUUCUGCUCCUGCUUGCUGCCAAAUGAAUUAUUUCCAAGAUGAAAAAUUUGCAUAACAUCAUUAUUAAAAAACAUUCCAGGGAUAAUGGAAUAGCUAUAUACAUUAGACCAAAGAAGAUGGUCAUAUGGAAAGGAUUCCACUUAAUAUCUUACCUUUGAUUUAUGAACUAUCCAGGGUGGAAAUUUUGGGAGAUGCUGCUAGCAGAAAAGAAAUUAUUAGUAAUAAGUUUUCCAUUCUGCAACCUAGCAUCUCUCCGUGCCGGACAUCUGGAAAGUAGCAGGCAGUGAACAGAUGUAGGGAGGUUAUGAAACAAAAGUUGGGUAGGAAAGAAGUACCCUACUUUUUGUGAGUCUGUAUUUAUUUCUGGGCAACUGCUUACAGCAUCUUCCUGCCAAAGGAGGCCUCUGCAGAAAAUAGAAGGUCCGUGUUGUAAUGCUUAAUGAAGGGGUUGGCUGUACACCAAGUGGCUGCUUUGCAGAUUUCUGUAGUGAAUGCAGUAGCUUGUUGCACCCAUGAGGUUGCUAAGGAUCUCAUGAAGUGUGCCUUGAUUCCUUCUGGGGCAGGAGCCUCUGAUGAUUUGUAGACUUCCACAAUAUGUAGUCUAAUCCAGCUAGCGAUGGAGGAUUUGGAGAGCUGUGAGUACUUGGCAUUUUGGGUGGAAAGUCACACAUAGGGAGCCUGGUAUUUUUGUGGAUUCUUUAUGUUUGAGAGAGAUUUUCAAAACUCUUUUGACAUAUAAGAUGUUGUGCCUUUUUUAGUUGGAUGCUGUGGUUUUGGACAGAUGAAGGAUGCAAAUCCUCAACGUCCCUCCCUCCCCUCCCCCAAUAUUAAACCAGCCUUAGGUGAAACUCAGAGUUCACCACUAAAAUUGAAAAAAAUAAUGUUCUGUUGCUGAUAAAGUGCCCACACCUCAGGAAUGACCCUAAAGAGUGUUAUAACCACCAGCAUUGUAAAGUAGAGACACCCAGGCACUGGGAAAUUAGGGAGGAUACAGAAAGAGAUUCAACAAAUGAUAAAUUAAACUCUGACCAGUGUUUUUAUGCUGAACAUCUGCAUAAAUGGAGAAGGUCACAACUAAGUUAAAAUUUGGGCAUGAAAGAUAAAAUGUAAAAAAACUUGGGCAGAAAGGAGGACACAUAGGUAAUGUAAUUGAUAAAAAUGUUAUUUAGGGAUGUGGGAUAAUGUUAUAGGUUUAAUACAUUUGAAGGAGGUAGCUAGCUUUAUCUAUAUAAUAUAAAUAAAAAACAGUGCUCUUUGGGAGCCAUUUCUGGACUGCAGUUCAACAUCAAGCUGCUGGAACUCUGAAUAUGUAUUCUGGGUGUGUUGCUAAUAAAUAGAUGUUUAGAACACAGCUGUGUAAGGCUGUUUCAUUGGGAAAAGAUCGCACAGACCUGUAGAGCCCUGAGCCCCAUAGAAAGGGCAGGUACUUAAUUUGGCCAGGUUUCUCCCUGAGCCCCAUGGGAAAGGAUAGGUGCCUUACGCCCCAAGCCUUUGGAGGGAGAGGGUUGGGGUGCCUAAAUUAACAGGGUCACAUCCUGAGCCCUUGGUAGGAUAUAGGCGGGGUACCCUGUAUUGUGCGAGGAACACUUGGGAAGUGUGGGAGGAAAAGCUUACUUUACAGAGAAAGGAUUCUGGUGUCCUGAGCAUCACCUUGUCCUCAUGGAACAUGCAGUAAGGCUCCUGUAUAGAUAAGGCUGCCAGCAUAGACUCUCACCUGGCAGACAUAAUUACUAUUAAGAAAUAAGUCUUAUGGAUAAAUAAAAGGUUAACGCUGAAGUCAGAGGCUUGUCAGGGCAUACAGAACUAGCAGAAGGUCCCAUUUUGGGAAGAAUGGCCUGACCACUGGUCUGGCUAAUCAGACUGCUUGAAGGACUCUAGCCACCUGUGGAUUGUCUGCAGGGAGUCUGAGAAUCCUGUGAAUAACAUGCUACUAAGAGCAGAUAUCUGGCAUGCAGUGGUGCAGGGCUGAAGGCUUCUGUCUAUGCUUUCCUGGAGAAAGUCCAGAAUGAUUGGAAUUCCUGGAUUUCUGAGAUUAGCAUUGCUCCUGGCACCAUGUUGCUGAAUCCUGACUAGACAGGGAAGUGUGCUUUAGUAUUGAGACUCUGCUAGAUGAAAGCAGUCUAUGAGUGUGGAGGACAGACAGAAGCACUAGAAUGUCUUGUUCUUAAUAAUCAGGCUGUUAGUUGAAGCCAUUUGAGGUUCUCAGUCUAGAGGCCCUGGGCCAUUUGAGUCUUCAAGUGAGCUCCCCAGCCUUCUAGGCUGGAGUCAAUUGCAAGGACUAAAGGAUCUGGAAGGCAGAUGGGCAUAUCGUUGGGGUUAUUACCAUGGGCUGACCACCGCUGUAGGUUCCAGCAGCUUGAUGUUGAACUGCAAUCCAGGAAUGGUUCCCAAAGAGCACUGUUUUUCAUUUAUAUUCUAUAAGUAAAGCUAGCUACACCUCUACCCCAAUCUAAUGUGACCCAAUAUAAUACGAAUUCGCAUAUAAUGCGGUAAAGCAGCGCUCCGGGGGGGCUGCACGCACCGGCGGAUCAUAGCAAGUUUGAUUUAACACGGUUUCACAUAUAACGCGGUAAGAUUUUUUUGGCUUCUGAGGACAGUGUUAUAUCGGAGUAGAGGUAUACUUCAUUCAGAUAUACUAAAGCUAUCACAUUAUCCCACAUCCCUAAAUAACAAAAUUUUUACCAAUUACAUUAUCUAUGUGUCCUCCUGCCCAAGU
Long non-coding RNA from Gopherus flavomarginatus (Mexican gopher tortoise), 3439 nucleotides. RefSeq lists it as uncharacterized. The record is from RefSeq and is a predicted model, not a curated record. NCBI's taxonomy places the organism in Eukaryota, Metazoa, Chordata, Testudines, Testudinidae. The transcript has 3 exons.